AGGUAAGCUACUAAGAGCGAAUGGUGGAUGCCUUGACUGGUAAAGGCGAUGAAGGACGUACUAGACUGCGAUAAGCUACGGGGAGCUGUCAAGAAGCUUUGAUCCGUAGAUUUCCGAAUGGGGCAACCCAAUGUAUAGAGAUAUACAUUACCUAUAUAGGAGCGAACGAGGGGAAUUGAAACAUCUUAGUACCCUCAGGAAAAGAAAUCAAUAGAGAUUGCGUCAGUAGCGGCGAGCGAAAGCGCAAGAGGGCAAACCCAGUGCUUGCACUGGGGGUUGUAGGACUGCAAUGUGCAAGAGGUGAGUUUAGCAGAACAUUCUGGAAAGUAUAGCCAUAGAGGGUGAUAGUCCCGUAUGCGAAAAACAAACCUUAGCUAGCAGUAUCCUGAGUAGGGCGGGACACGAGAAAUCCUGUCUGAAGCCGGGUCGACCACGAUCCAACCCUAAAUACUAAUACCAGAUCGAUAGUGCACAAGUACCGUGAGGGAAAGGUGAAAAGAACUGAGGUGAUCAGAGUGAAAUAGAACCUGAAACCAUUUGCUUACAAUCAUUCAGAGCACUAUGUAGCAAUACAGUGUGAUGGACUGCCUUUUGCAUAAUGAGCCUGCGAGUUGUGGUGUCUGGCAAGGUUAAGCAAACGCGAAGCCGUAGCGAAAGCGAGUCUGAAUAGGGCGCUUAGUCAGAUGCUGCAGACCCGAAACGAAGUGAUCUAUCCAUGAGCAAGUUGAAGCUAGUGUAAGAACUAGUGGAGGACUGAACCCAUAGGCGUUGAAAAGCCCCGGGAUGACUUGUGGAUAGGGGUGAAAGGCCAAUCAAACUUCGUGAUAGCUGGUUCUCUCCGAAAUAUAUUUAGGUAUAGCGUUGUGUCGUAAUAUAAGGGGGUAGAGCACUGAAUGGGCUAGGGCAUACACCAAUGUACCAAACCCUAUCAAACUCCGAAUACCUUAUAUGUAAUCACAGCAGUCAGGCGGCGAGUGAUAAAAUCCGUCGUCAAGAGGGAAACAACCCAGACUACCAGCUAAGGUCCCUAAAUCUUACUUAAGUGGAAAACGAUGUGAAGUUACUUAAACAACCAGGAGGUUGGCUUAGAAGCAGCCAUCCUUUAAAGAAAGCGUAAUAGCUCACUGGUCUAGUGAUUUUGCGCGGAAAAUAUAACGGGGCUAAAGUAAGUACCGAAGCUGUAGACUUGACUUUGUCAAGUGGUAGGAGAGCGUUCUAUUUGCGUCGAAGGUAUACCGGUAAGGAGUGCUGGAGCGAAUAGAAGUGAGCAUGCAGGCAUGAGUAGCGAUAAUUAAUGUGAGAAUCAUUAACGCCGUAAACCCAAGGUUUCCUACGCGAUGCUCGUCAUCGUAGGGUUAGUCGGGUCCUAAGUCGAGUCCGAAAGGGGUAGACGAUGGCAAAUUGGUUAAUAUUCCAAUACCAACAUUAGUGUGCGAUGGAAGGACGCUUAGGGCUAAGGGGGCUAGCGGAUGGAAGUGCUAGUCUAAGGUCGUAGGUGCUUAUACAGGCAAAUCCGUAUAAGAAUACACCGAGAACUGAAAGGCUUUUUGAAGUCUUCGGAUGGAUAGAAGAACCCCUGAUGCCGUCGAGCCAAGAAAAGUUUCUAAGUUUAGCUAAUGUUGCCCGUACCGUAAACCGACACAGGUGGGUGGGAUGAGUAUUCUAAGGCGCGUGGAAGAACUCUCUUUAAGGAACUCUGCAAAAUAGCACCGUAUCUUCGGUAUAAGGUGUGGUUCGCUUCGUAUUAGGAUUUACUCCGAAAGCGAAGAAACUUACAACAAAGAGUCCCUCCCGACUGUUUACCAAAAACACAGCACUCUGCUAACUCGUAAGAGGAUGUAUAGGGUGUGACGCCUGCCCGGUGCUCGAAGGUUAAUUGAUGGGGUUAGCAUUAGCGAAGCUCUUGAUCGAAGCCCGAGUAAACGGCGGCCGUAACUAUAACGGUCCUAAGGUAGCGAAAUUCCUUGUCGGUUAAAUACCGACCUGCAUGAAUGGCGUAACGAGAUGGGAGCUGUCUCAAAGAGGGAUCCAGUGAAAUUGUAGUGGAGGUGAAAAUUCCUCCUACCCGCGGCAAGACGGAAAGACCCCGUGGACCUUUACUACAGCUUGACACUGCUACUUGGAUAAGAAUGUGCAGGAUAGGUGGGAGGCUUUGAGUAUAUGACGCCAGUUGUAUAUGAGCCAUUGUUGAGAUACCACUCUUUCUUAUUUGGGUAGCUAACCAGCUUGAGUUAUCCUCAAGUGGGACAAUGUCUGGUGGGUUAGUUUGACUGGGGCGGUCGCCUCCCAAAUAAUAACGGAGGCUUACAAAGGUUGGCUCAGAACGGUUGGAAAUCGUUCGUAGAGUAUAAAGGUAUAAGCCAGCUUAACUGCAAGACAUACAAGUCAAGCAGAGACGAAAGUCGGUCUUAGUGAUCCGGUGGUUCUGUGUGGAAGGGCCAUCGCUCAAAGGAUAAAAGGUACCCCGGGGAUAACAGGCUGAUCUCCCCCAAGAGCUCACAUCGACGGGGAGGUUUGGCACCUCGAUGUCGGCUCAUCGCAUCCUGGGGCUGGAGCAGGUCCCAAGGGUAUGGCUGUUCGCCAUUUAAAGCGGUACGCGAGCUGGGUUCAGAACGUCGUGAGACAGUUCGGUCCCUAUCUGCCGUGGGCGUAAGAAGAUUGAAGAGAUUUGACCCUAGUACGAGAGGACCGGGUUGAACAAACCACUGGUGUAGCUGUUGUUCUGCCAAGAGCAUCGCAGCGUAGCUAAGUUUGGAAAGGAUAAACGCUGAAAGCAUCUAAGCGUGAAGCCAACUCUAAGAUGAAUCUUCUCUAAGCUCUCUAGAAGACUACUAGUUUGAUAGGCUGGGUGUGUAAUGGAUGAAAGUCCUUUAGCUGACCAGUACUAAUAGAGCGUUUGGCUUAUCUUU
Molecule: ribosomal RNA, 2909 nt
Filed under: Campylobacter coli 76339
Lineage: Bacteria; Pseudomonadati; Campylobacterota; Epsilonproteobacteria; Campylobacterales; Campylobacteraceae
Description: LSU rRNA
Rfam family: Bacterial large subunit ribosomal RNA
Source: RNAcentral